GAAUCAACGCUGGCGGCGUGCCUAACACAUGCAAGUCGAACGCGAAAGCCCCUUCGGGGGUAAGUAGAGUGCGUCCGGGUGAGUAACACGUAGGUAAUCUACCUUCGGUGGGGAAUAACCAGUCGAAAGAUUGGCUAAUACCGCAUAAUGCAGCGGCACCUAAUGGUGAUUAGUUGUUAAAAGCGGGGGAUCGUAAGACCUCGCGCCUGAAGAGGA
Molecule: ribosomal RNA, 216 nt
Filed under: uncultured bacterium
Lineage: Bacteria
Description: partial 16S ribosomal RNA
Rfam family: Bacterial small subunit ribosomal RNA
Source: RNAcentral